Molecule: ribosomal RNA, 1391 nt
Filed under: metagenome
Description: SSU rRNA
Rfam family: Eukaryotic small subunit ribosomal RNA
Source: RNAcentral
GGUUGAUCCUGCCAGUAGUCAUAUGCUUGUCUAAAAGAUUAAGCCAUGCAAGUCUAAGUAUAAGCGAUUAUACUGUGAAACUGCGGAAAGCUCAUUAUAUCAGUUAUAGUUUAUUUGAUGGUACCCUGCUACAUGGAUAACUGUAGUAAUUCUAGAGCUAAUACAUGCCCGUAAUUCUGACCCUCGUGGGAAGGAACGGACUUAUUAGAUACCGAUUGCCAACCCAGCCCUCGGGCUGGUGUUUGGUGAAUCAUAAUAAUUUCUAGAUCGCACGCCUUAGCGGGCAGCGAUGGGUCAUUCAAAUUUCUGCCCUAUCAGCUAGAUGGUAGUGUCGUGGACUACCAUGGCUAAUACGGGUGACGGGGGAUUAGGGUCUGAUUCCGGAGAGGGAGCCUGAGAAACGGCUACCACUUCCAAGGUAGGCAGCAGGCGCGUAAAUUACCCAAUCCCAAUACGGGGAGGUAGUGACAAGAAAUAACAAUACUGGGCCUCUAACGAGGUCUGGUAAUUGGAAUGAGUACAACUUAAAAUCCUUAACCAGGAUCAAUUGGAGGGCAAGUCUGGUGCCAGCAGCCGCGGUAAUACCAGCUCCAAUAGCGUAUGCUAAAGUUGUUGCAGUUAAAAGGCUCGUAGUCGAACAUAUGAUUUGGCUGCACCCGAACCACUUCCUAGUGUUGUGAGCUUCGGUGUGCGCCGGUCAUUUUUCUGAAAAGCACUUCUGCCCUUGAUUGGGUAGUUGUGUGAUUCAGAUCAUUUACUGUGAGUAAAUCAGAGUGUUCAAAGCAGGCUUUACGCUUGUAUUGUUCAGCAUGGAAUAAUAAGAUAAGACUUCGGUUUUAUUUUGUUGGCUAUGAAACCAAAGUAAUGAUUAAAAGGGAUAGUUGGGGGUGCUAGUAUUUAAUGGUCAGCGGUGAAAUGCGAGGACCCAUUAAAGACUAACUUAUGCGAAAGCAUUCACCAAGGAUAUCUUCUUUGAUCAAGAACGAAAGUUGGGGGAUCGAAGACGACCAGAUACCGUCGUAGUCUCAACCAUAAACUAUGCCAACUAGGGAUUGGCGGUUGAUGAUUAUUGUCCCCGCCAGCACCUUAUGAGAAAUCAAAGUCUCUGGGUUCUGGGGGGAGUAUGGUCGCAAGGCUGAAACUUAAAGGAAUUGACGGAAGGGCACCACCAGGAGUGGAGCCUGCGGCUUAAUUUGACCCAACACGGGAAAACUUACCAGGUCCAGACAUAGUAAGGAUUGACAGAAUAUAGAUCUUUCAUGAUUCUAUGGAUAGUGGUGCAUGGCCGUUCUUAGUUGGUGGAGUGAUUUGUCUGGUUAAUUCCGUUAACGAACGAGACCUCAGCCUGCUAAUUAGUUUCGCCAAUGCUCGCAUUGGUGAAACUUCUUAGA